RNAcentral lists this transfer RNA (70 nucleotides) under Panthera pardus (leopard). Its description in RNAcentral is "tRNA-His". It matches the Rfam family "tRNA". Rfam says of the family: Transfer RNA (tRNA) molecules are approximately 80 nucleotides in length. Their secondary structure includes four short double-helical elements and three loops (D, anti-codon, and T loops). The record is from RNAcentral. Lineage: Eukaryota; Metazoa; Chordata; Mammalia; Carnivora; Felidae.
GUAAAUAUAGUUUAACGAAAAACAUUAGAUUGUGAAUCUAAUAAUAGAAGUGCAAAUCUUCUUAUUUACC